This 75-nucleotide transfer RNA is filed under the name Deltaproteobacteria bacterium. RNAcentral's name for it is "tRNA-Met". It matches the Rfam family "tRNA". From Rfam's summary of the family: Transfer RNA (tRNA) molecules are approximately 80 nucleotides in length. Their secondary structure includes four short double-helical elements and three loops (D, anti-codon, and T loops). Lineage: Bacteria; Pseudomonadati; Myxococcota; Myxococcia. The record is from RNAcentral.
CCGCCUUUAGUUCAACGGUAGAACCGCCGGCUCAUAACCGGUAAGUUCCGGGUUCGAAUCCCGGGGGGCGGACAA